This 770-nucleotide ribosomal RNA is filed under the name uncultured bacterium. RNAcentral describes it as "bacterial SSU rRNA". It matches the Rfam family "Bacterial small subunit ribosomal RNA", at positions 8 to 796 of the family's 1533-position model. The record is from RNAcentral.
AGAGUUUGAUCCUGGCUCAGGACGAACGCUGGCGGCGUGCUUAACACAUGCAAGUCGAGCGGAAAGGCCCUUCGGGGUACUCGAGCGGCGAACGGGUGAGUAACACGUGAGUAACCUGCCCCUAGCUCUGGGAUAGCUCCGGGAAACCGGGAUUAAUACCAGAUACGACCACUUUAGACAUCUGUCGUGGUGGAAAGGAUUCCGGCUAGGGAUGGGCUCGCGGCCUAUCAGCUUGUUGGUGGGGUAACGGCCUACCAAGGCGACGACGGGUAGCCGGCCUGAGAGGGCGACCGGCCACACUGGGACUGAGACACGGCCCAGACUCCUACGGGAGGCAGCAGUGGGGAAUAUUGCGCAAUGGGCGAAAGCCUGACGCAGCGACGCCGCGUGGGGGAUGAAGGCCUUCGGGUUGUAAACCCCUUUCAGCAGGGACGAAGCGAGAGUGACGGUACCUGCAGAAGAAGCGCCGGCUAACUACGUGCCAGCAGCCGCGGUAACACGUAGGGCGCAAGCGUUGUCCGGAAUUAUUGGGCGUAAAGAGCUCGUAGGCGGUCUGUUGCGUCCGCUGUGAAAUCUCGGGGCUUAACCCCGAGCCUGCAGUGGAUACGGGCAGACUAGAGGUAGGUAGGGGAGAAUGGAAUUCCUGGUGUAGCGGUGAAAUGCGCAGAUAUCAGGAGGAACACCGGUGGCGAAGGCGGUUCCCUGGGCCUUACCUGACGCUGAGGAGCGAAAGCGUGGGGAGCGAACAGGAUUAGAUACCCUAGUAGUCC